This 425-nucleotide long non-coding RNA is filed under the name Androctonus crassicauda. The record is from RNAcentral. Lineage: Eukaryota; Metazoa; Arthropoda; Arachnida; Scorpiones; Buthidae.
UGUUGAAUUCAACAUUAACGCGGGUGCGACUGGGUGGCAGAGUGGUGACGGAAAGUAUUAUUAUUAUAAACAGUCAUUUGGAGUCUCUAAGCAUGUGCUUCCGGGCCGCUGGUGGUUCGACCGAGGGUUUGUCAUUUGGUGGAUUCUGGGUUUCCCUUGCUCUCAUAGUUUCUAUCGUUUCGUGGGUUGCUGCCUGGGGUGGGAGCUUGAUCGUCUUUAUUGCUUUCUCACGGUCCCAUUCUAUAAGUAGUGAAAGCAACCCUCCAUUCUAUACAGCAGAACCUGAACCAACAAAGCACGGAUGAAAGCAUGUACAUACCCGUGCCUUACAGUAUGAGUAAGUCAACAGUGAUAAGAACAUUAGCUAAGAACGCUAAGCGAAAGAUUGCGACUAAAAGAGCACCGACACUGUUUAACGCAUUGCG